ACCCGCACAAGCGGUGGAUGAUGUGGAUUAAUUCGAUGCAACGCGAAAACCUUACCUACCCUUGACAUGUCCGGAAUCCCGAAGAGAUUUGGGAGUGCUCGCAAGAGAACCGGAACACAGGUGCUGCAUGGCUGUCGUCAGCCCGUGUCGUGAGAUGUUGGGUUAAGUCCCGCAACGAGCGCAACCCUUGUCAUUAGUUGCCAUCAUUUGGUUGGGCACUCUAAUGAGACUGCCGGUGACAAACCGGAGGAAGGUGGGGAUGACGUCAAGUCCUCAUGGCCCUUAUGGGUAGGGCUUCACACGUCAUACAAUGGUCGGUACAGAGGGUUGCCAACCCGCGAGGGGGAGCUAAUCCCACAAAGCCGAUCGUAGUCCGGAUCGCAGUCUGCAACUCGACUGCGUGAAGUCGGAAUCGCUAGUAAUCGUGGAUCAGCAUGUCACGGUGAAUACGUUCCCGGGUCUU
RNAcentral lists this ribosomal RNA (463 nucleotides) under uncultured Rhodocyclaceae bacterium. RNAcentral's name for it is "bacterial SSU rRNA". It matches the Rfam family "Bacterial small subunit ribosomal RNA", at positions 919 to 1382 of the family's 1533-position model. Lineage: Bacteria; Pseudomonadati; Pseudomonadota; Betaproteobacteria; Rhodocyclales; Rhodocyclaceae. The record is from RNAcentral.